RNAcentral lists this ribosomal RNA (666 nucleotides) under Suillus granulatus. Its description in RNAcentral is "eukaryotic LSU rRNA". The stretch from base 212 to 366 matches the Rfam family "5.8S ribosomal RNA". Lineage: Eukaryota; Fungi; Basidiomycota; Agaricomycetes; Boletales; Suillaceae. The record is from RNAcentral.
GGGGCACUGACUACAUGCAGGCGAGGGAAGGCGGAGAGUUGUGAGCUGGCCCCUCCGGGCAUGUGCACGCUCUCUUCCGGACUUUCGCCGUAUGGGCGCGGGGCGACCCGCGUCUUCAUAUACCUCUUCGUGUAGAAAGUCUUUGAAUGUCGAAACCAUCAUCGAGUCGCGACUUCUAGGAGACGCGAUUCUUUGAGACAAAAGUUAUUACAACUUUCAGCAACGGAUCUCUUGGCUCUCGCAUCGAUGAAGAACGCAGCGAAUCGCGAUAUGUAAUGUGAAUUGCAGAUCUACAGUGAAUCAUCGAAUCUUUGAACGCACCUUGCGCUCCUCGGUGUUCCGAGGAGCAUGCCUGUUUGAGUGUCAGUAAAUUCUCAACCCCUCUCGAUUUGCUUCGAGAGGGCGCUUGGAUGGUGGAGGCUGCCGGAAACCUGGAUUCGUUCAGGACUCGGGCUCCUCUGAAAUGAAUCGGCUUGCGGUCGACCUUCGACUUUGCAUGACAAGGCCUUUGGCGUGAUAAUGAUCGCCGUUCGCCGAAGUGCACAACAGAAAAAGGUCCCGCACAUCUAGUGCGUCUACGCCUACCGGGCAUCUACCUCAUUGACGUUUUACCUCGCAGCAAUGUAGAUUUCCCGCUGGACCUUCCCCAAUGUCUCAGCCGGAGAA